UAAGUAAUGUGAAUUGCAGAAUUCAGUGAAUCAUCGAAUCUUUGAACGCACCUUGCGCUCCCUGGUAUUCCGGGGAGCAUGCCUGUUUGAGUGUCGUGAAAUCAUCAUGGUCAUGAUCUUUAAUUAAUCAUGGCUUGGACUUGGAGGCUUUGCUGGUCCUCGCGGAUCGGCUCCUCUCAAAUGCAUUAGCGAGACCCUUGUGGUGCCGCCCCCGGUGUGAUAAUUGUCUACGCCGUGGGUACACCGCGAUUGUGGGGGACCUGCUUCCAACCGUCGAAAGACAACUUCAUCGAAACUUGACCUCAAAUCAGGCGGGACUACCCGCUGAACUUAA
Molecule: ribosomal RNA, 334 nt
Filed under: uncultured fungus
Lineage: Eukaryota; Fungi
Description: eukaryotic LSU rRNA
Rfam family: 5.8S ribosomal RNA (bases 1-96)
Source: RNAcentral